Molecule: ribosomal RNA, 117 nt
Filed under: Ruminococcus sp.
Lineage: Bacteria; Bacillati; Bacillota; Clostridia; Eubacteriales; Oscillospiraceae
Also listed under: 1 other name
Source: RNAcentral
GUUGGUGUUGAUGACGCUGAGGGUCCACCUGUUCCCAUACCGAACACAGAAGUUAAGCUCAGUGGUGCCGAAAAUAGUGCUCUGGCGACGGAGUGUGAAAAUAGGGAGAUGCCAACA